This 23-nucleotide small nuclear RNA is filed under the name Arabidopsis thaliana (thale cress). RNAcentral's name for it is "snRNA_04892". The record is from RNAcentral. Lineage: Eukaryota; Viridiplantae; Streptophyta; Magnoliopsida; Brassicales; Brassicaceae.
CUAGAUAUGGAACAGUCUAGAAU